CGUUGUCCGGAAUUACUGGGCGUAAAGAGCUCGUAGGUGGUUUGUCGCGUUGUCCGUGAAAACUCACAACUCAAUUGUGGGCGUGCGGGCGAUACGGGCAGACUGGAGUACUGCAGGGGAGACUGGAAUUCCUGGUGUAGCGGUGGAAUGCGCAGAUAUCAGGAGGAACACCGGUGGCGAAGGCGGGUCUCUGGGCAGUAACUGACGCUGAGGCACGAAGGCCAGGGGAGCAAACGGG
This 238-nucleotide ribosomal RNA is filed under the name uncultured bacterium. RNAcentral describes it as "partial 16S ribosomal RNA". It matches the Rfam family "Bacterial small subunit ribosomal RNA", at positions 539 to 776 of the family's 1533-position model. The record is from RNAcentral.